AGAGUUUGAUCCUGGCUCAGAAUCAACGCUGGCGGCGCGCUUAACACAUGCAAGUCGCACGAGAAAGUGGAGCAAUCCAUGAGUAAAGUGGCGUACGGGUGAGUAACACGUGGAUCAUCUACCUCUUAGUGGGGAAUAACCCUGGGAAACCGGGGCUAAUACCGCAUAAGCCUGAGAAGGGAAAGCAGCAAUGCGCUGAG
RNAcentral lists this ribosomal RNA (200 nucleotides) under uncultured bacterium. Its description in RNAcentral is "partial 16S ribosomal RNA". It matches the Rfam family "Bacterial small subunit ribosomal RNA", at positions 8 to 222 of the family's 1533-position model. The record is from RNAcentral.